RNAcentral lists this ribosomal RNA (306 nucleotides) under uncultured bacterium. Its description in RNAcentral is "partial 16S ribosomal RNA". It matches the Rfam family "Bacterial small subunit ribosomal RNA", at positions 355 to 653 of the family's 1533-position model. The record is from RNAcentral.
UAGGGAAUCUUCCACAAUGGACGCAAGUCUGAUGGAGCAACGCCGCGUGAGUGAAGAAGGUUUUCGGACCGUAAAGCUCUGUUGUUGGUGAAGAAGGAUAGAGGUAGUAACUGGCCUUUAUUUGACGGUAAUCAACCAGAAAGUCACGGCUAACUACGUGCCAGCAGCCGCGGUAAUACGUAGGUGGCAAGCGUUGUCCGGAUUUAUUGGGCGUAAAAGCGAGCGCAGGCGGAAGAAUAAGUCUGAUGUGAAAGCCCUCGGCUUAACCGAGGAAUUGCAUCGGAAACUGUUUUCUUGAGUGCAGAA